This 246-nucleotide ribosomal RNA is filed under the name uncultured bacterium. RNAcentral's name for it is "partial 16S ribosomal RNA". It matches the Rfam family "Bacterial small subunit ribosomal RNA", at positions 523 to 769 of the family's 1533-position model. The record is from RNAcentral.
AUACGUAGGGUGCGAGCGUUAAUCGGAAUUACUGGGCGUAAAGCGUGCGCAGGCGGUUGUGUAAGUCAGAUGUGAAAUCCCCGGGCUCAACCUGGGAACUGCAUUUGAGACUGCACGGCUAGAGUGUGGCAGAGGGGGUGGAAUUCCACGUGUAGCAGUGAAAUGCGUAGAGAUGUGGAGGAACACCGAUGGCGAAGGCAGCCCCCUGGGCCAAUACUGACGCUCAUGCACGAAAGCGUGGGGAGC